GCAGGAGUGGCGGAAUUGGUAGACGCGCUGGACUCAAAAUCCAGUGGGCAUUAAAACCCGUGAGAGUUCGAGUCUCUCCUUCUGCACCA
RNAcentral lists this transfer RNA (89 nucleotides) under Kapaibacterium sp. (SeqCode). RNAcentral's name for it is "tRNA-Leu". It matches the Rfam family "tRNA". Rfam says of the family: Transfer RNA (tRNA) molecules are approximately 80 nucleotides in length. Their secondary structure includes four short double-helical elements and three loops (D, anti-codon, and T loops). Lineage: Bacteria; Pseudomonadati; Bacteroidota; Eximiradiia; Eximiradiales; Kapaibacteriaceae (SeqCode). The record is from RNAcentral.